GUCCACGCCCUAAACGAUGCUCACUAGGUGUUGGGGAAGCGAUUCCUUGGUACCGAAGCUAACGCGUGAAGUGAGCCGCCUGGGGAGUACGGCCGCAAGGUUAAAACUCAAAGGAAUUGACGGGGACCCGCACAAGCGGUGGAUGAUGUGGAUUAAUUCGAUGCAACGCGAACAACCUUACCUACCCUUGACAUGUCUGGAAGGCUUCCGAGAGGAGGCUGUGCCUGAAAGGGACCGGAACACAGGUGCUGCAUGGCUGUCGU
Molecule: ribosomal RNA, 263 nt
Filed under: uncultured bacterium
Lineage: Bacteria
Description: partial 16S ribosomal RNA
Rfam family: Bacterial small subunit ribosomal RNA
Source: RNAcentral